GGAAUAUUGGACAAUGGGCGCAAGCCUGAUCCAGCCAUGCCGCGUGCAGGAUGACGGUCCUAUGGAUUGUAAACUGCUUUUGUACGAGAAGAAACACUCCUAUGUAUAGGAGCUUGACGGUAUCGUAAGAAUAAGGAUCGGCUAACUCCGUGCCAGCAGCCGCGGUAAUACGGAGGAUCCAAGCGUUAUCCGGAAUCAUUGGGUUUAAAGGGUCCGUAGGCGGUUUAAUAAGUCAGUGGUGAAAGCCCAUCGCUCAACGGUGGAACGGCCAUUGAUACUGUUAGACUUGAAUUAUUAGGAAGUAACUAGAAUAUGUAGUGUAGCGGUGAAAUGCUUAGAGAUUACAUGGAAUACCAAUUGCGAAGGCAGGUUACUACUAAUUGAUUGACGCUGAUGGACGAAAGCGUGGGUAGCGAACAGGAUUAGAUACCCGUG
This 435-nucleotide ribosomal RNA is filed under the name uncultured Flavobacterium sp. RNAcentral describes it as "bacterial SSU rRNA". It matches the Rfam family "Bacterial small subunit ribosomal RNA", at positions 358 to 790 of the family's 1533-position model. The record is from RNAcentral. Lineage: Bacteria; Pseudomonadati; Bacteroidota; Flavobacteriia; Flavobacteriales; Flavobacteriaceae.